UACGGGAGGGUGCAAGCGUUAUCCGGAUUCACUGGGUUUAAAGGGUGCGUAGGUGGGUUGAUAAGUCAGUGGUGAAAUCCCCGAGCUUAACUUGGGAACUGCCAUUGAUACUAUUGAUCUUGAAUACCGUGGAGGUCAGCGGAAUAUGUCAUGUAGCGGUGAAAUGCUUAGAUAUGACAUAGAACACCAAUUGCGAAGGCAGCUGGCUACGCGAAUAUUGACACUGAUGCACGAAAGCGUGGGGAUCGAAACAAGGAGU
Molecule: ribosomal RNA, 259 nt
Filed under: uncultured bacterium
Lineage: Bacteria
Description: partial 16S ribosomal RNA
Rfam family: Bacterial small subunit ribosomal RNA
Source: RNAcentral